ACUCCUACGGGAGGCAGCAGCAAGGAAUUUUCCGCAAUGGGGGCAACCCUGACGGAGCAACGCCGCGUGACGGAUGACGCCUCUUGGGGUGUAAACGUCUUUUGCCGAGGGAGAGAAUGGACGGUACUCGGCGAAUCAGGACCGGCUAACUACGUGCCAGCAGCCGCGGUAAU
Molecule: ribosomal RNA, 173 nt
Filed under: uncultured Chloroflexota bacterium
Lineage: Bacteria; Bacillati; Chloroflexota
Description: uncultured Chloroflexi bacterium partial 16S ribosomal RNA
Rfam family: Bacterial small subunit ribosomal RNA
Source: RNAcentral